CGGGCUGUUGUAUAAUGGUAGUACGCAGGGCUGGGGGUCCUGUAGCCGGGGUUCAAUUCCCCGCAGCCCGACAA
This 74-nucleotide transfer RNA is filed under the name Candidatus Falkowbacteria bacterium CG10_big_fil_rev_8_21_14_0_10_37_6. RNAcentral describes it as "tRNA-Pro". It matches the Rfam family "tRNA". From Rfam's summary of the family: Transfer RNA (tRNA) molecules are approximately 80 nucleotides in length. Their secondary structure includes four short double-helical elements and three loops (D, anti-codon, and T loops). Further hydrogen bonds mediate the characteristic L-shaped molecular structure. tRNAs have two regions of fundamental functional importance: the anti-codon, which is responsible for specific mRNA codon recognition, and the 3' end, to which the tRNAs corresponding amino acid is attached (by aminoacyl-tRNA synthetases). tRNAs cope with the degeneracy of the genetic code in two manners: having more than one tRNA (with a specific anti-codon) for a particular amino acid; and 'wobble' base-pairing, i.e. permitting non-standard base-pairing at the 3rd anti-codon position. The record is from RNAcentral. Lineage: Bacteria; Candidatus Falkowiibacteriota.